UCCUCAGUAGCUCAGUGGUAGAGCGGUCGCUGUUAACUGACUGGUCGUAGGUUCGAAUCCUACUUGGGGAG
Molecule: transfer RNA, 71 nt
Filed under: Asparagus officinalis (garden asparagus)
Lineage: Eukaryota; Viridiplantae; Streptophyta; Magnoliopsida; Asparagales; Asparagaceae
Description: tRNA A4U43_Asn284
Rfam family: tRNA
About the family: Transfer RNA (tRNA) molecules are approximately 80 nucleotides in length. Their secondary structure includes four short double-helical elements and three loops (D, anti-codon, and T loops). Further hydrogen bonds mediate the characteristic L-shaped molecular structure. tRNAs have two regions of fundamental functional importance: the anti-codon, which is responsible for specific mRNA codon recognition, and the 3' end, to which the tRNAs corresponding amino acid is attached (by aminoacyl-tRNA synthetases). tRNAs cope with the degeneracy of the genetic code in two manners: having more than one tRNA (with a specific anti-codon) for a particular amino acid; and 'wobble' base-pairing, i.e. permitting non-standard base-pairing at the 3rd anti-codon position.
Source: Rfam by way of RNAcentral